GACGGACGCUGGCGGCGUGCUUAACACAUGCAAGUCGAACGGAAAGGCCCCAGCUUGCUGGGGUACUCGAGUGGCGAACGGGUGAGUAACACGUGGGUGAUCUGCCCUGCACUCUGGGAUAAGCCUGGGAAACUGGGUCUAAUACCGGAUAGGACCGUGCUUUAGUGUGUGCGGUGGAAAGUUUUUCGGUGCAGGAUGAGCCCGCGGCCUAUCAGCUUGUUGGUGGGGUAAUGGCCUACCAAGGCGGCGACGGGUAGCCGGCCUGAGAGGGUGUACGGCCACAUUGGGACUGAUACACGGCCCAGACUCCUACGGGAGGCAGCAGUGGGGAAUAUUGCACAAUGGGCGCAAGCCUGAUGCAGCGACGCCGCGUGGGGGAUGACGGCCUUCGGGUUGUAAACCCCUUUCGGCAGGGACGAAGCUUUUGUGACGGUACCUGCAUAAGAAGCACCGGCUAACUACGU
RNAcentral lists this ribosomal RNA (464 nucleotides) under uncultured bacterium. RNAcentral describes it as "partial 16S ribosomal RNA". It matches the Rfam family "Bacterial small subunit ribosomal RNA", at positions 28 to 506 of the family's 1533-position model. The record is from RNAcentral.